Molecule: ribosomal RNA, 433 nt
Filed under: uncultured bacterium
Lineage: Bacteria
Description: partial 16S ribosomal RNA
Rfam family: Bacterial small subunit ribosomal RNA
Source: RNAcentral
AGUGAACGCUGGCGGCAGGCCUAACACAUGCAAGUCGAACGAACUCUUCGGAGCUAGUGGCGGACGGGUGAGUAACACGUGGGAACGGUCCUUUUGGUUCGGGAUAACUCAGUUUAACGUGUGCUAAUACCGAGUGCGCCAUUCGGGGGAAAGAUUUAACGCCAUUAGAGAAGCACGCGACUGAUUAGCUAGUUGGUGAGGUAACGGCUCACCAAGGCGACGAUCAGUAGCUGGUCUGAGAGGAUGACCAGCCACACUGGGAAUGAGACACGGCCCAGACUCCUACGGGAGGCAGCAGUGGGUAAUCUAGCGCAAUGGGCGAAAUCCUGACGCAGCCAUGCCGCGUGAAUGAUGAAGGUGUUAGGAUUGUACAAUUCUUUCACAGGGGACGGUAAUGACGGUACCCGAAGAAGAAGCCCCGGCUAACUUCGUG